RNAcentral lists this long non-coding RNA (3721 nucleotides) under Homo sapiens (human). Its description in RNAcentral is "HSALNT0048319". Lineage: Eukaryota; Metazoa; Chordata; Mammalia; Primates; Hominidae. The record is from RNAcentral.
AUGAAAAUGGACUUUUCAUUACCUAAAGUGGAUUCCAAUUUGAAACUUGCCAUGUUGAUGCUGAAUACUCAUUUCCAGUGAUGCUAGAUGGAUUCUUUCAUGGUGAACACCCAAGAGCAACAGGCAGAAGAUGUACUGUGUUUGAUGACCUAGCUUUAGGAGACACAUUACCUCACUUCAACCAAACACUUGUGUGUGAAGAAGUCAGAACCCCACCUAAAUUCAAGCUUAGCGGACAUAGACACUAGUCAAUUGGAGAAGUGUCGAAAAAUCAGCUGCAUUAAAAAAAAUCACCUUGGGCUGGGCACAGUGGCUCACACCUGUAAUUUCAGCACUUUGGGAGGCUGAGGCAUGUGGAUCAUUUGAGCCUAGGAGUUUGAGAUCAGCCUGAGCAACAUGGUGAGACUCCCUCUCUAAAUAAAAUAAAAUAAAAAUAAAAAAAUCACCUUAUCAAAACUAGGAAAAGCUGUAUGCACACUAAGGACAAAUCUCCUUAGUAGCAUGAAUUACUGCAAUAACUUAACCAAGUUGUCUGAUAUGAUUUUCAUGGUGCUUUAUUGAACACCUAUUUUAAUAGAUUUAUGGAGCUACCGGUUACUAGAGGAGAUAUCCCUGGCUUAUGCAAAUUUCAUUCCGCAGCAAAAUACCAAGACUUCUUGGAGAGACUUUUAAUCACUUUAACUUAAGCUCCAAUAUUAGUUGAACUAUAUAAACAGAUGGUCAGAAUGAUCUUCCCAAUAUUUAGAAAGAAAUACAUUUUAGUCCCAGGAAACCCUAAUUCAAUAGAACCAUGUGAAAUGCCACAAAUACUUAGUGAACAAGUUAGAAAAAUGGAAAAUAAAAAUAAAGAAAAAAGCCCAUUUAUCCUGACCAAUCAAUUUAAUUAGACCACAAUAGUCAACAAAAUCUAGCCCAACCCUCUAGAUUUGGUCAUAUGUUCACUGUUAAAUCAACCCCUUGUCCAAAGAAAUAUAAUGCAGUGACUGGUCUAAUCUAGGUACAUAUCUACCCCUCUAGGCUGGAAAGCCAUUAGUUUCCCUCUUAAGCAAGCAGAUACAUAGAUGAAAAUUAGCAGUCAUUGGGAUGUGACAAAUAGACGCAAGUAGAGUCACCUUCAAGUGUCCAUGAUAGGAGAAGGUGUAUUCCAGGCAGAGAAACAGCUUAUGUAAAGUUCUGCAAGAUCAUUGAUCAUUUGGGGGAAAAUGGCAAGGAAGUGUUAUGACUGGAGUAAAUAAUAUCUAACAUCCUUGGCCACUGAAAUCACAGGAACCAGACUAUAAUUAUGUCACACUAAAAGGAGAUUACCUAAUUGUUUCAUUAACAACACAUUUUCAAAAUAAACCAGAGACCUGUAUUCUUAUGGAACUGAGAUAGGAGAAAUCUCAUAAAUAUUCUCUGGAAAAAUAUAGAGAAUGAGAGGGUACAAUACAACGUAUUAUAUAAAGGCUUAACUCUUAAAAACCUUAUUUAUGUUAUCUAAGAUCUUAGUAACUCAGCUUCAAGCUAACGUUGACUACCCUCAAUUAUAGACUCUAUUCAUGGGUCCAUGAACCUGACACUUGAAAGCUUCCCUUGAAAAUUACCUGUCAAAAAUAUGCUUUAUCCAAGUGAAAACUAGGUUUAUAAAUACUUCAGCCUGUUUUUAACUCUGUCUCUUUAGACUAAUAUGUCCUUUUCUGAGCAGACAUCAUUUAGGGUGACCUUUUCAAAAUAGAGUCAAGGGUUCAGGAAUCACACUGGCUUUGCACCUUGCUGCUUACAAAGUGUGUUUGGGAAUGUUGUUGUAUUGAUUACUUACAACAACCCUGUAAUUGAGGUAUACUGAUACCCCUUUUACAGAAGGAUAAACUGAGGCUCAGGAAGGUCAGUAAUUUUCUCAAAGAUACACAGAUGGUCAGUGACAUAUGAGGAUCAAGGUCACAUUUCCUACCCCAAGUCCAGCACUCCUUUGGCAGGUGCUGUUUCCUGUCAUCAGUAAAGCAGAUGUUAGCCAGGCAUGGUUGCUUACACUUGUAGUCCUCAGCACUUUGGGAGGCCGAGGCAGGUGGACUGCUUGAGACCAGGGGUUCGAGACCAGCCUGGGCAACAUGGCAAACCCCAUCUCUACAAAACAUAGAAAAAUUAGCUGGGUGUGGCAGUGCAUGACUGUGGUCCCAGCUACUUGGGAGGCUGGGGCAGGAGGAUCACUUGAGCCUAGGAGGCAGAUGUUGCAGUGAGCUGAGAUUGUGCCACUGUACUCCAGCCUGGGUGACAGAGUGAGACUCUGUCUCAAAAAAUAAAGCAGACAUCACUAGAGCUUCUCAUUUAUCAAAGUACAAUUUGAAUCACAGAACCCACAUCAUAUAUUAAGCUACUCUAUGUAACUGGAAUUAUGGCAAUAGUUUGUCUAUACCUAGAAUACUAGAAUAAUAAAAAAUACACAUUACCUAUUUUUAUUGUAUAAUUGACCCUUGAACAAUUCAUGAGUCACCAGUGCUGACCCCCAGGACAGUCAAAAAUCCAUGUAUAAUUUUUGACUCCCCAAAAACUUUACUAAUAGCAUACAGUUGACCAGAAGCCUAACAAUAACAUAGUCGAUUAACACCUAUUUUGCACAGUAUAUGUAUUAUAUAUGGUAUUCUCAUAAUAAAGGAAGCUAGGGAAAAGAGACUGUUGUAAGAUAAUCAUAAGGAGACUUCACAGCCUUUAGAACUGUAAGAAAUAAAGCUCUGUUCUUUAAAAAUUAAAUAAAAAGAAAAUUAUAAGGAAGAUAAAAUACAUUUACAGUAUUGUGCCAUACUUUUUGAUACAAUAUGUUUAUGCAAUCUGUUUAUAAGAUGAAUUGUCUGUCUGAAAUAGUGGGCAACCACAGUUGUAGACCUCCAUCUAUGACACAUAUCAAGAAAUUCAACUUUUUCUUGUAAUGUUAUGACUUUUCUCUACUUUUUGCAACCACUUCCAGCAUCACUAGUGGCACUUUAUAUGAGUCCCAUGCUGUUAGUGAAGGUUUACAGUACUGAAUUAAAUACAAUGAAAAAUCUAAGAGAGAUCAUUUUUUACUGUGCUUUGCAAUUUGCUGGAGAGAUGAACUGCUCACACAGAGAUGAUUGGCAUCACACGGCUUUUUAAGAGGCUACUUGCCACACUUGAGCUAUUUCAAUAACAACAGGAGGUGAACACAAAAUUGUUAUGGUAGCACAAUAAAUACUACGGUUAUUUUUAUGCGGUUAUGAUUCAAUACUGCAUCUUUAUGUUUGUUUACAUUUUUCUUGAUGGUGAAUGACAUCACGUACAAUCUGUGUGCGUAAGUUUUGAUAAAUUUUUUAUAAUAGGUUUGUGUAUAUUUUAUGCUAACAAAUGAUAUAACAAGCUAGUAUUUAUAUAUAUUUUAUGCAUUCAUAACAUACCUGACUUCUUAAUUGUGUCCAUAUUUCUAGGUUAUGCAGUUUGCACGCUUUUUCAAAUUGUAGCAAAACUCCAAAAUAAAUAUAUUUUCCAAUAUUUUUAUCGCAUGGGUCCCCGUAUAAGCGGACCCAUGCAAUUUGAACCUGUGUUAUUUGAGUCAACUGUAAUUUUUAGUUGAACACUAUAGUUUCAAUAAAGAAAAUUAUCAAAACACAUACAAAAAGCAAAGCAAAACAAAAACCACACAAGUGUGAAUAAAACACUGCAUUGUAUGGAUGGAUCCUACGUUCUUAGCUGUUUGUUCAAGGCUGCCUACAUUUAGACUCCAAGCACUUCU